UCACCCCUCAAGCCCCGUGCUUGGUGUUGGACGGCCGGUCGAGCGAUCGACCCCUCCUAAAGACAAUGGCGGCGGCCUGUGGCUCCCCCGGUACACUGAGCUUUUAACUGAGCACGUAUCGGACAAGGGCACCCGGGACCCGGUCCUCUCCUUUAACUAGGAAACUUCUAA
RNAcentral lists this unclassified non-coding RNA (171 nucleotides) under uncultured Cladophialophora. RNAcentral's name for it is "sequence contains ITS2". The record is from RNAcentral. Lineage: Eukaryota; Fungi; Ascomycota; Eurotiomycetes; Chaetothyriales; Herpotrichiellaceae.